Small nucleolar RNA from Prosopis cineraria, 125 nucleotides. NCBI's taxonomy places the organism in Eukaryota, Viridiplantae, Streptophyta, Magnoliopsida, Fabales, Fabaceae. The record is from RefSeq and is a predicted model, not a curated record.
AUCCCAGAUAAAGUCCCUUGUGUUUAUCUGAUUCAUGGGAGGCUAAUAUUGACAAUGGAAGUUUCGCUGAUAGCACCACUUUUAACCUUGCAGGAGGUGUUUUUACUAGUAGCUUUCCAACAUUC